AUGUGCGUUAUAACAUAUACAUUCGACAUCCAAAGAUUCAAUAAGUCCAAACAUGGCGUGUUCAUCAUACAUUCAAACGCGAUCCGGUUGAGUAGGGAUCUCUUAGUUCCAGAAACUUUGGCAAUUUCGUACAGACAACAAAGAAUUACAGGCAAUUUCGAAUUCACUGAUGCUGCUUACUCACUUCCACUGGACUGCGGAGACACGGUUUGCUGCGACUGCAGCUGCUCUUCCUCCACCGUCUUGACCACGGCGUGGGUCACGGCGACGCUGCCGCAGCCGGCGACGUUCACGCGGCGGCACCGGUCGCCGCUCACGGCGCCGCACCGGCUGGCGUCGACGGCCCUGCACAUCUGGACCUCCAGGCUGCCGCACCAGUCGGCGCGCACUCCCUUGCAGCGCGCCAGGCGGACCUCGCCGAAGCUCUCGACGUCGGCCCGCCUGCAGCGGGUCGCGCGGAGGAGGCCGCCGCCUCGGAGCCGCGCCUCCCGGCACCUCUCGACCGUCACCUUGCCGGCCUGCUCCGCGUCCAGGGACCGGCACCGCGAGACCGACACCUCCCGCGCGCCGUCGACGCGCGUCGCGCCGCACUGGACGAAGGACGCGGACCCCACGCCCUCGGCGGCCGCGUCGCCGCACAGGGUGAACACGACGGCGCCCCCUCCCCCGCCGCGCACGACGACGCUCCGGAGGCCGUCGGCGGAGAGGUUCCCGGGGCUGGUGACGGUGACCUUGCCGAGACUGCCCUGGAGCGUGCCCUCGUGGAUGUCCGUCUCGACGCCGUCGACCACGACAACGAACAUGUGGUGGACGGCGACCGCGGAGGAGGAUCCGCCGGGCUUGGGGCCGACGAGCUCCAUCGCGAUGUGGUGCGGGCUUGCCAUCCCCUUCUGGUUGUUUUGGUUGGUGAGCUAUCGAGGAGUAAAGCGACGUUUAGUUAUGAGGUCCAUAGAUGUUAAGAGGUGUGUACCCUUCUCAACUGCCAGUGCCCACUCCCAACUGUCAGUGCUGCUCUUUUCUUCGCUUGCACUGUUGCACAUCCCAUACACAUCGGUUCCUCAAAAAAAAUCAUAA
This 1074-nucleotide ribosomal RNA is filed under the name Triticum aestivum (bread wheat). RNAcentral describes it as "partial small subunit ribosomal RNA". Lineage: Eukaryota; Viridiplantae; Streptophyta; Magnoliopsida; Poales; Poaceae. The record is from RNAcentral.